RNAcentral lists this unclassified non-coding RNA (321 nucleotides) under Hevea brasiliensis (rubber tree). Lineage: Eukaryota; Viridiplantae; Streptophyta; Magnoliopsida; Malpighiales; Euphorbiaceae. The record is from RNAcentral.
GAGAGAGAGAGAGAGAGAACUAGCACUUGAACUUAUUGACUUCAGUUAACAUGUCUAUGGGAGCCCAUGUCAUGUUAAAAACUAUAAACUUCCAAGAAUCUAGUUAUUGGAAUGUUCUCAGCACAUUUAACCUUUUGAUUCACAAGCCAGAAGGCAGGUCAUAAUUUCGGCAAAUGAUCCAAAUGUUCAAGUGUGUGUAGUGGCAUCAAACUAAUAAGUGCUUAAAAUACGAAGUAGCUAGGAGGGACUUGAAUGCUGCAACAUGAAAGGGGAAGGUAAAUUCACUAGUGAUCUGGAUCUGAUAAGACACCUGAGUACGUA